RNAcentral lists this long non-coding RNA (908 nucleotides) under Salmo salar (Atlantic salmon). RNAcentral's name for it is "lncRNA (ENSSSAG00000107520.1, ENSSSAG00000121627.1)". The record is from RNAcentral. Lineage: Eukaryota; Metazoa; Chordata; Actinopteri; Salmoniformes; Salmonidae.
CUCGUUGAGCUUCUGGCUCGCUGGGCUUGCUCUCGCUUUCGCCCUGCUCCUCCAGCACUCAAACCCGCCAGAGCCAGAAACCAUGACAUUGAAGAUGACACCCAAGUACCUCUUUUGACACGCUUAUCACGUCCCAUGACAGACUUUGCUUGCGUUCCAGGCCAUCAACAUAACAUAGAUGUUGAAUUACAUCAACCAAUGGACUUGUGUGCCACAUCAUCGACUGCACAGUCAGGCGCCAGACUACUAAAUCAUAUGUUAGCUGAUAUGUUAAAUACCUAUCCAAAUGUUGUAUAUCUGUCUGGUGUCUCAGCCAGGAACGUGACCUGCCUGACCAAUCCUAACUACUCCAACAAACAUGUAGGACUUCCACCCUCAAUUCUUAAUUUAGAGAUGGGCCUGAUCCAGGACCAACCCCUAGUCCAGCUAUUAAAUCUGCCCAUUGCCCUCAAGUACUUGGAUGCAGGUUUUCUGCUUAUACAAGUUUUCUACCUGAGUGUAAAGAUUCACUGAUUGGCCAGUCCACCCACCUGCUAUCCAAUUUUCCUGAUUAAGAGAGAACGAGAGCCAGCAGUACUUUGGUCCUCAAUGGCCUCAGUGUCUGGCAUCAUUUGUGAUGGUGAUACUGAUGACCCUCUCCUAGACCCUGAAGGAAUACCAGACACACCAUCUGAUGAUGUGCCUGACCCCUCAGCCCCAGGCCUACCAGAAGGGUGUCCUCUUUGGCGAGCGCUUCAGUUGCACCGUAUGUUUUGACGUAGUCCUGAAACAACAAGCGAUCAACACAUCAAUUCUUGGACUCAAACAGCAGCUGGAGGAUUGCCAGAGCUAUGGGUGGAUGGAAACACUACGUCAGGCAUGGGCUCAUCAGGUCAGCGGAAUGCCAUUUUUAUUGCAAUGUCGUGGAG